Molecule: ribosomal RNA, 492 nt
Filed under: uncultured bacterium
Lineage: Bacteria
Description: partial 16S ribosomal RNA
Rfam family: Bacterial small subunit ribosomal RNA
Source: RNAcentral
AGUGAACGCUGGCGGUAGGCCUAACACAUGCAAGUCGAACGGCAGCACAGUAAGAGCUUGCUCUUACGGGUGGCGAGUGGCGGACGGGUGAGGAAUACAUCGGAAUCUACUUUUUCGUGGGGGAUAACGUAGGGAAACUUACGCUAAUACCGCAUACGACCUACGGGUGAAAGCAGGGGAUCUUCGGACCUUGCGCGAUUGAAUGAGCCGAUGUCAGAUUAGCUAGUUGGCGGGGUAAAGGCCAACCAAGGCGACGAUCCGUAGCUGGUCUGAGAGGAUGAUCAGCCACACUGGAACUGAGACACGGUCCAGACUCCUACGGGAGGCAGCAGUGGGGAAUAUUGGACAAUGGGCGCAAGCCUGAUCCAGCCAUACCGCGUGGGUGAAGAAGGCCUUCGGGUUGUAAAGCCCUUUUGUUGGGAAAGAAAAGCAGCAGGUUAAUACCCCGCUGUUCUGACGGUACCCAAAGAAUAAGCACCGGCUAACUUCGUG